AGUGAACGCUGGCGGUAGGCCUAACACAUGCAAGUCGAACGGCAGCACAGUAAGAGCUUGCUCUUACGGGUGGCGAGUGGCGGACGGGUGAGGAAUACAUCGGACUCUACUUUUUCGUGGGGGAUAACGUAGGGAAACUUACGCUAAUACCGCAUACGACCUACGGGUGAAAGCAGCGGAUCUUCGGACCUUUCGCGAUUGAACGCGCCGAUGCCGGAUUUGCUAGUUGGCGGGGUAAUGGCCCACCAGGGCGCCGAUCCGUAGCUGGACUGAGAGGAGGAUCGGCCGCAUUGGAACUGAGACACGCGCAAGGCUACUACGGGAGGCAGCAGUGGGCAAUGGUAGGCAAUGGGCGCAAACCUGACCCAACCAUACCGCGUCGGUGAAGAAAGCCCUCGGGGUGGAAAGCCCUUUUGUUGGGAAAGAAAAGCAGCAGGUUAGGACCCCGCUGUUCUGACGGUACCCAAAGAAUAAGCACCGGCUAACUUCGUG
Molecule: ribosomal RNA, 492 nt
Filed under: uncultured bacterium
Lineage: Bacteria
Description: partial 16S ribosomal RNA
Rfam family: Bacterial small subunit ribosomal RNA
Source: RNAcentral